UACGGGGAGGCAGCAGUGGGGGAAUAUUGCACAAUGGGCGCAAGCCUGAUGCAGCCAUGCCGCGUGUGUGAAGAAGGACCUUCGGGUUGUAAAGCACUUUCAGUCGUGAGGAAGGUAGUGUAGUUAAUAGCUGCAUUAUUUGACGUUAGCGACAGAAGAAGCACCGGCUAACUCCGUGCCAGCAGCCGCGGUAAUACGGAGGGUGCGAGCGUUAAUCGGAAUUACUGGGCGUAAAGCGCAUGCAGGUGGUUUGUUAAGUCAGAUGUGAAAGCCCGGGGCGUCAACCUCGGAAUAGCAUUUGAAACUGGCAGACUAGAGUACUGUAGAGGGGGUAGGAAUUUCAGGUGUAGCGGUGAAAUGCGUAGAGAUCUGAAGGAAUACCGGUGGCGAAGGCGGCCCCCUGGACAGAUACUGACACUCAGAUGCGAAAGCGUGGGGAGCAAACAGGAUUAGAUACCCUGGUAG
This 465-nucleotide ribosomal RNA is filed under the name uncultured bacterium. RNAcentral describes it as "bacterial SSU rRNA". It matches the Rfam family "Bacterial small subunit ribosomal RNA", at positions 340 to 793 of the family's 1533-position model. The record is from RNAcentral.